This is a long non-coding RNA of Xenopus laevis (African clawed frog), 1707 nucleotides long. RefSeq lists it as uncharacterized. The transcript has 3 exons. The record is from RefSeq and is a predicted model, not a curated record. NCBI's taxonomy places the organism in Eukaryota, Metazoa, Chordata, Amphibia, Anura, Pipidae.
GGGACUAAAAGACUGAAAACCCCACUUCAGCAGAAAUUGUGUCAUGGAAAGGUUCGCAUCCCCGGGCAACCGAACACUCAGUGACAUUGACUUGGGUCUUGAGAGAAUUAAGCGCCAGUCAAAGGCAGGAUAAAGUUUGCAACAUCCUAAUGAAGCCGAAGGGUGGGGGGAACUUGCAGUCACGGAAUGAAUGCACACGGGAUAGAGGGAGAAAGAAACACGUGCACUCAUCAUGUUUAAUGGGGCAGCUCCCACCUUCACCUUUCUUAGGUUGUCUUUCCCUCCUUCUUUUCUCCUUCUCUCCAUUCUCCUCUCCCUACCCCCUCCAGACGCCAUCUCUUCCCUCUAUCUCUCUGUGACACAAGUGAAUGUGGAAGUGAAAGAGAAGACUGCGACCGACACUCCCCACCCCUGUGCAAGGCAAUGGCCAGGUCCUCCUGCCGAACCUUCCUAGGGGGUGAAUCUCCUGUCGAUAAGGCCUGGCAGUAGCCAAGUACCUCAGGGCAUCUACUGAAGAAAAAGGUGGAUAGUCAUAAAAAGAAGAGUGUUACAGUUGCUCAAUUCACCUUAAGGACUAUUCACUCAACAAAACCAAAGCUCUCAAGGACUGAUUCAGUAUCCUGCAGAAUGUGGACUCUACCAAUCAAAUUUGUGGUUACCUGCUGCUAAAUUGCACUGCCCACAAAGUGCUAAACUGCAAGGAACUUGCAUAUCCCAGAAAAUUAUUUAGACUGUGCUGUCAGGUUCUAGGACCAGCUCAAAAAGGAAGACAGUUUCAGGGGGUGGCAUCUCAUCUGAGGAGGGAAUGUGCCUCCUAAAUGAUUGGGGCUGUCCCGUUUGUCGCAGGACAGUCCUGGAUUGUUACUGAAAUGUCCUGUGUUUCUCUUUGAUCUCCUGCACGGAAUAGCCAGAAAAAGACACAAAAGCAGGGAAUGUAAUAUGUUUCUCUAGCGCCAAAAACCUACGCAAAGAGGCUUGCGAACAAUAGCAACCAUGUUUGUGUCCUUUUUGACUGAUUAAAGACUUCAUCACAAAGUUUUAAAUAACGCUUGCGACUUUUAAUUACAUUACCCCAAAAGUUUCUGAAAUGUAAUUAAAAAGAGGCUUUUGGCAGAGAGCCCAGCUGCACUUAGAUACUUUUGUAACAAUUUAAGAUGAGAAAAGAUACAACACGCCUGAUCUUUUUGCCCCUCUUUUUCAAAUGUAAGGAGAUAUGCAAUAGCUUAUGCCUGACACAACCAGAGAACCAACACCUGUCUGUUCAUCUUCAGACCGAGGUAAAAACUGUGUAUGUUUCUACAAUCAUUAUGGAUUCAUGCAGCUUAGUUACCAUCAAGUACAAGCUACUGUUUAUUAUUAUAGAAAAAUAAUAAGUUCCUGGCAACUUUGCAGUUGGUCUCCAUUAUUUAUGCUUUAUAGUUUCUUUUUUUUCUAGUUAUUUGCCUUCCUCUUCUACCUCUUUCAAGUGGAAGUCACUGUCCCCUUCAGCAAAGAAAAAAAAAAUAUUGCUCUUUGCUACAAUUUUCUGCCUAAAAAGUCACAUUUUAAAAAGGGGAAACAAUAGUUACUAACAGCAUUUUAAAAUAUUCUGUCAUGUAGGGAGUUCCUCAACCAACAUAUGUUAAAUAAGAUUAAAGGGGUAGUUCACCUUUAAGGUAACUUUAAGUAUGCUAUAGAAUGGCCAAUUCUAAGCAACUUUUCAAUUGG